UACGUAGGGUGCGAGCGUUAAUCGGAAUUACUGGGCGUAAAGCGUGCGCAGGCUGUUCUGUAAGUCAGAUGUGAAAUCCCCGAGCUCAACUUGGGAACUGCGUUUGAAACUACAGGACUAGAAUAUGUCAGAGGGGGGUAGAAUUCCACGUGUAGCAGUGAAAUGCGUAGAGAUGUGGAGGAAUACCAAUGGCGAAGGCAGCCCCCUGGGCCUGCACUGACGCUCAUGCACGAAAGCGUGGGGAGCAAACAGG
This 253-nucleotide ribosomal RNA is filed under the name uncultured bacterium. RNAcentral's name for it is "partial 16S ribosomal RNA". It matches the Rfam family "Bacterial small subunit ribosomal RNA", at positions 524 to 776 of the family's 1533-position model. The record is from RNAcentral.